AGACCCGACUGACGACAAUAAGUCCUUUAAAAGUCCAAUUGACGUAAUUGGUUUUGUCGUUAAGAGUUUUCCUUAUGAUCUAAAAGAGGAUACCAAAGACGGGAAACAAGAAAAGAAGCUAACAUUCAUGCUUCAGGAUUUAGAAGGGAAGCAAAUAUAUGUUACUCUUUGGGAUGCUUAUGCUGAACAGAUUUUGGAUUUUGAAAGGGACAACCAA
Long non-coding RNA from Helianthus annuus (common sunflower), 217 nucleotides. RefSeq lists it as uncharacterized. The record is from RefSeq and is a predicted model, not a curated record. The transcript is spliced from 3 exons. Lineage: Eukaryota; Viridiplantae; Streptophyta; Magnoliopsida; Asterales; Asteraceae.